Non-coding RNA from Acinonyx jubatus (cheetah), 1747 nucleotides. Lineage: Eukaryota; Metazoa; Chordata; Mammalia; Carnivora; Felidae. The record is from the annotation of a RefSeq genome assembly.
GAGCUGCCACAGACCAGGCUGAGGGUCCAUGGUAGAGCAUCUGCAUGAGUAGGUCUGGCAGAAGCACAGCCGUCUCCUUAUUGGCUGGUGGACACGUGGGAAACCACUCUGACUGAUGCAGGAAAGAAGGGCGAGCCGGUACUAGAAGUAGCUGUGCUGGCUGGAGGUGGCAAUUCUGAAAGUGAUUGUAAUUGUAAUUGGGAGGAACCAUGAGGACAUCCGAGGGGGCUUUCAUCACGCUCUUGUGGCUGCCGCUGCACUGGCUCAGCCGAGGAGAGAAUGUGGAGCAGCAUCCUUCCACCCUGAGUGUCCAGGAGGGAAACAGCUGUGUUAUCACCUGUAGUUACUCAGACAGUGCCUCAAACUACUUCCCUUGGUAUAAGCAAGAACUUGGAAAAGGUCCCCAGCUCAUUAUAGACAUUCGUUCAAGUGUGGCCAAAAAAGAAGACCAAAGACUCACUGUUUUACUGAAUAAGACGGCCAAGCAUCUGUCCCUGCACAUCGCAGCCGCCCAGCCUGCAGACUCAGCUGUCUACUUCUGUGCAGCAAGUGCACAUUGCGUCCCAGACACCUGCUGCCUGCACCCAAACCUGUGACUGGGCAGCCCCUGUCCUUUGACACAGAACUUCAAGUAGAUCGUUUGUGCUAUUGUUUGUCUGCAGGCGGAAGCUAAUGUGUUAGACAUUAAAGCAUAACUUAAGACAACAGGGAUCGAGAUGACCCAGACAGGGUUAGAACAUUUUCUUGGAUGAUUGCUGCUCAAUGGAAUUCUUGAAGGGAGUUAGUAAGGUUUUAUUUUGAAAUUCAGGCUUUAAAUGUGAGUUUACAUAUGCUAUUCAGAUGCCUUUCCCAUAAAUAACCCCUUAGUACUAAUAUUUCAGUCCUUACUAUGGAUGAGAUGGGCAUUUAAAUGUUGUGUUUCCAAGCAGCAUUUAUUAUUUUUCUGAUUUUACAACAUUACAUGUCAAAUAUAGAAAUACAUAAAGUGAAAAAUAUGAAAGUCAUACUUCUAUAAUUGGAUAUUAUUGCUAAUAUUCAUUUUAGUCUUAAAAAAUCAUAUUCUGAUUAGGAACAUGAUUUUUUCACUUAAUAUAAUUUAAUUUGAGCAUUCCUUCCAUCAUGUUUUCACCUCUAACAUCUACUUUAUUUUAUUUUUAAUGUUUUAUUUAACAUCUGCUUUACAAUAGCUCUGUGAAAUAUUUUAAUUAAGUACAGUUUCAUACUAAUUUUCUUCCUCUGUAUUUGGGACAAAAUUUGACAGCCAUAUAUGUGAUUUGAUCACUUUCUCUUUCAGAAAAUGUGGCAUGGGUUUUCCUUUAGAGCCCAGUGAUGGUGUCUAUUAUUUGUGUGUUUGAGAGAAAUUAAGAUAGGGAAUGACUUGACAAUAUGAACUUAAGAUAAAACUCAGAAAUCUAUUCUCAUUUACAAAAUUCUCUAAGUAUAUGUUCACAAUUACUCUCUCAUAGAAUUUAGAAGACAGAAUUUUGUAUUUCAUUCACUGCUGUAUUCGCAGUACCUAGCACAAACUUUUUCAUAUAAUGGGCUAUCCGUAGAUGUUUUUUAAAGAAAGAAGGAAAGAUGAAUUCUGCUACUUAAACAUACUUUUAAUCUAAUUUUUAUGAUGGAAUUAAAUGUAUAAAUUGAUUGUGAAAAAUAAAAGUCCUUAAUGUGUAUAUCUGAUUAUUUGUUUCAGAGCGUUCUGUUUCUUUCCAUUCAUAUGUCUUCCUUUCUUAAUAAAGCUCUGUGG